Molecule: ribosomal RNA, 253 nt
Filed under: uncultured bacterium
Lineage: Bacteria
Description: partial 16S ribosomal RNA
Rfam family: Bacterial small subunit ribosomal RNA
Source: RNAcentral
UACGAAGGGUGCAAACGUUGCUCGGAAUUAUUGGGCGUAAAGCGCACGUAGGCGGCUUGGCAAGUCGGAUGUGAAAUCCCUCGGCUCAACCAAGGAAGUGCAUCCGAAACUGCUGAGCUUGAGUACGAAAGAGGAUCGCGGAAUUCCCGGUGUAGAGGUGAAAUUCGUAGAUAUCGGGAGGAACACCAGUGGCGAAGGCGGCUUUCUGGGCCUUACCUGACGCUGAGACGCGAAAGCGUGGGGAGCGAACAGG